GUGAAGAACGCAGCGAAAUGCGAUAAGUAAUGUGAAUUGCAGAAUUCAGUGAAUCAUCGAAUCUUUGAACGCACAUUGCGCCCCCUGGUAUUCCGGGGGGCAUGCCUGUUCGAGCGUCAUUUCACCACUCAAGCCUCGCUUGGUAUUGGGCAACGCGGUCCGCCGCGUGCCUCAAAUCGACCGGCUGGGUCUUCUGUCCCCUAAGCGUUGUGGAAACUAUUCGCUAAAGGGUGUUCGGGAGGCUACGCUGUAAAACAACCCCAUUUCUAAGGUUGACCUCGGAUCAGGUAGGGAUACCCGCUGAACUUAAGCAUAUCAAUAAGCGGAGGA
This 330-nucleotide unclassified non-coding RNA is filed under the name soil metagenome. RNAcentral's name for it is "partial contains 5.8S ribosomal RNA, internal transcribed spacer 2, and large subunit ribosomal RNA". The stretch from base 2 to 119 matches the Rfam family "5.8S ribosomal RNA", at positions 37 to 154 of the family's 154-position model. The record is from RNAcentral.